GAUGAACGCUAGCUACAGGCUUAACACAUGCAAGUCGAGAGGCAUCAUGGAGUUUGCUUGCAGACUCUGAUGGCGACCGGCGCACGGGUGCGUAACGCGUAUCGAACCUUCCCCUUACUCGGGAAUAGCCCGGUGAAAACCGAAUUAAUGCCCGAUAUGUAUUUAGAUGGCAUCAGAAGAGUAUGAAAGAUUUAUCGGUAAGGGAUGGCGAUGCGUAGGAUUAGGUAGUCGGCGGGGUAACGGCCCACCAAGCCGACGAUGUCUAGGGGAGCUGAGAGGCUUAUCCCCCACACUGGUACUGAGACACGGACCAGACUCC
Molecule: ribosomal RNA, 319 nt
Filed under: uncultured Prevotella sp.
Lineage: Bacteria; Pseudomonadati; Bacteroidota; Bacteroidia; Bacteroidales; Prevotellaceae
Description: bacterial SSU rRNA
Rfam family: Bacterial small subunit ribosomal RNA
Source: RNAcentral